AUACUUACCUGGCAAGGGAGACACCAUGAUCUGGAAGGUGGUUUGGAGACACCAUGAUCUGGAAGGUGGUUUUCCCAGGGUAAUUGUCUCUGAUAUGUCCUCCAUAGGAGGUCUAUACUGAGCAGAUUCUUUUUGGUAUUGGGUGGUGGAACUGGAGCGUGCUCCAUCCACUC
RNAcentral lists this small nuclear RNA (173 nucleotides) under Crocodylus porosus (Australian saltwater crocodile). Its description in RNAcentral is "U1 spliceosomal RNA (ENSCPRG00005010029.1)". The record is from RNAcentral. Lineage: Eukaryota; Metazoa; Chordata; Crocodylia; Crocodylidae.